UACGUAGGGUGCGAGCGUUGUCCGGAAUUACUGGGCGUAAAGAGCUCGUAGGUGGUUUGUCGCGUUGUUCGUGAAAACUCACAGCUUAACUGUGGGCGUGCGGGCGAUACGGGCAGACUGGAGUACUGCAGGGGAGACUGGAAUUCCUGGUGUAGCGGUGGAAUGCGCAGAUAUCAGGAGGAACACCGGUGGCGAAGGCGGUUCUCUGGGCAUGUCCUGACGCUGAGGAGCGAAAGUGUGGGGAGCGAACAGG
This 253-nucleotide ribosomal RNA is filed under the name uncultured bacterium. RNAcentral's name for it is "partial 16S ribosomal RNA". It matches the Rfam family "Bacterial small subunit ribosomal RNA", at positions 524 to 776 of the family's 1533-position model. The record is from RNAcentral.